RNAcentral lists this ribosomal RNA (497 nucleotides) under uncultured bacterium. RNAcentral describes it as "partial 16S ribosomal RNA". It matches the Rfam family "Bacterial small subunit ribosomal RNA", at positions 28 to 507 of the family's 1533-position model. The record is from RNAcentral.
GAUGAACGCUGGCGGCGUGCCUAAUACAUGCAAGUCGAGCGAACGGACGAGAAGCUUGCUUCUCUGAUGUUAGCGGCGGACGGGUGAGUAACACGUGGAUAACCUACCUAUAAGCCUGGGAUAACUUCGGGAAACCGGAGCUAAUACCGGAUAAUAUUUUGAACCGCAUGGUUCAAAAGUGAACGACGGUCUUGCUGUCACUUAUAGAUGGAUCCGCGCUGCAUUAGCUAGUUGGUAAGGUAACGGCUUACCAAGGCAACGAUGCAUAGCCGACCUGAGAGGGUGAUCGGCCACACUGGAACUGAGACACGGUCCAGACUCCUACGGGAGGCAGCAGUAGGGAAUCUUCCGCAAUGGGCGAAAGCCUGACGGAGCAACGCCGCGUGAGUGAUGAAGGUCUUCGGAUCGUAAAACUCUGUUAUUAGGGAAGAACAUAUGUGUAAGUAACUGUGCACAUCUUGACGGUACCUAAUCAGAAAGCCACGGCUAACUACGUG